Molecule: ribosomal RNA, 465 nt
Filed under: Vreelandella stevensii
Lineage: Bacteria; Pseudomonadati; Pseudomonadota; Gammaproteobacteria; Oceanospirillales; Halomonadaceae
Description: partial 16S ribosomal RNA
Rfam family: Bacterial small subunit ribosomal RNA
Source: RNAcentral
CCUACGGGGGGCUGCAGUGGGGAAUAUUGGACAAUGGGGGGAACCCUGAUCCAGCCAUGCCGCGUGUGUGAAGAAGGCCCUCGGGUUGUAAAGCACUUUCAGUGAGGAAGAACGCCUGGUGGUUAAUACCCAUCAGGAAAGACAUCACUCACAGAAGAAGCACCGGCUAACUCCGUGCCAGCAGCCGCGGUAAUACGGAGGGUGCGAGCGUUAAUCGGAAUUACUGGGCGUAAAGCGCGCGUAGGUGGCUUGAUAAGCCGGUUGUGAAAGCCCCGGGCUCAACCUGGGAACGGCAUCCGGAACUGUCAAGCUAGAGAGCAGGAGAGGAAGGUAGAAUUCCCGGUGUAGCGGUGAAAUGCGUAGAGAUCGGGAGGAAUACCAGUGGCGAAGGCGGCCUUCUGGACUGACACUGACACUGAGGUGCGAAAGCGUGGGUAGCAAACAGGAUUAGAUACCCGUGUAGUC